Non-coding RNA from Canis lupus familiaris (dog), 73 nucleotides. NCBI's taxonomy places the organism in Eukaryota, Metazoa, Chordata, Mammalia, Carnivora, Canidae. The record is from Rfam.
ACCUGGCUGGCUCAGCUGGUAGAGCACGGGACUCCUGAUCUCAAGGUCAUGAGUUCAAGCCCCACGUUGGGCA